Molecule: ribosomal RNA, 96 nt
Filed under: Escherichia coli
Lineage: Bacteria; Pseudomonadati; Pseudomonadota; Gammaproteobacteria; Enterobacterales; Enterobacteriaceae
Also listed under: 1 other name
Description: partial 23S ribosomal RNA
Rfam family: Bacterial large subunit ribosomal RNA (bases 1-78)
Source: RNAcentral
CGACGUUGAUAGGCCGGGUGUGUAAGCGCAGCGAUGCGUUGAGCUAACCGGUACUAAUGAACCGUGAGGCUUAACCUUACAACGCCGAAGGUGUUU